Molecule: ribosomal RNA, 171 nt
Filed under: Olea europaea subsp. europaea
Lineage: Eukaryota; Viridiplantae; Streptophyta; Magnoliopsida; Lamiales; Oleaceae
Description: Bacterial large subunit ribosomal RNA
Rfam family: Bacterial large subunit ribosomal RNA
Source: Rfam by way of RNAcentral
ACUAUUCCCUGAGAUUGGGUUUAGGCCUUUCCUGCGCAGCUUAGGUGGAAGGCGAAGAAGGCCUCCUUCCGGGGGGGGCCCAAGCCAUCAGUGAGAUACCACUCUGGAAGAGCUAGAAUUCUAACCUUGUGUCAGGACCUACGGGCCAAGGGACAGUCUCAGGUGGACAGU